This 477-nucleotide ribosomal RNA is filed under the name uncultured bacterium. Its description in RNAcentral is "bacterial SSU rRNA". It matches the Rfam family "Bacterial small subunit ribosomal RNA", at positions 28 to 505 of the family's 1533-position model. The record is from RNAcentral.
GACGAACGCUGGCGGCGUGCCUAACACAUGCAAGUCAACUUGACUGAAGGAGCAAUCUGACAGUAGAGUGGCGCAAGGGUGCGUAACGCGUAAGUAACUUGCCCCAAGGUAAGGAAUAACGUCGAGAAAUCGGCGCUAAUACCUCAUAAUGCAGCGGAUCCGCAUGGAUAUGUUGUUAAAGGUUUACCGCCUUGGGAUAGGCUUGCGUCUGAUUAGCUAGUUGGUGUGGUAACGGCACACCAAGGCUACGAUCAGUAACUGGUCUGAGAGGAUGAUCAGUCACACUGGAACUGAGACACGGUCCAGACUCCUACGGGAGGCAGCAGUGAGGAAUAUUGGGCAAUGCUCGAAAGAGUGACCCAGCAACGCCGCGUGGAGGAUGAAGGUAUUCUAUAUCGUAAACUCCUGUGAGAGCAGACGAAGACAGAUUAUUAAUCUGGAUGACUGUAUGCUCAGAGGAAGCCCCGGCUAACUACG